GUGGGGAAUAUUGGACAAUGGGCGAAAGCCUGAUCCAGCCAUGCCGCGUGUGUGAAGAAGGUCUUCGGAUUGUAAAGCACUUUAAGUUGGGAGGAAGGGCAGUAAGUUAAUACCUUGCUGUUUUGACGUUACCGACAGAAUAAGCACCGGCUAACUUCGUGCCAGCAGCCGCGGUAAUACGAAGGGUGCAAGCGUUAAUCGGAAUUACUGGGCGUAAAGCGCGCGUAGGUGGUUUUGUAAGUUGGAGGUGAAAUCCCCGGGCUCAACCUGGGAACUGCAUCCAAAACUGGAUGACUAGAGUACGGUAGAGGGUAGUGGAAUUUCCUGUGUAGCGGUGAAAUGCGUAGAUAUAGGAAGGAACACCAGUGGCGAAGGCGACUACCUGGACUGAUACUGACACUGAGGUGCGAAAGCGUGGGGAGCAAACAGGAUUAGAUACCCUAGUAGUCC
This 450-nucleotide ribosomal RNA is filed under the name uncultured bacterium. RNAcentral describes it as "partial 16S ribosomal RNA". It matches the Rfam family "Bacterial small subunit ribosomal RNA", at positions 354 to 796 of the family's 1533-position model. The record is from RNAcentral.